CCGGAAUAGCUCAGUUGGUAGAGCAGAGGACUGAAAAUCCUC
RNAcentral lists this transfer RNA (42 nucleotides) under Leptobryum wilsonii. Its description in RNAcentral is "partial trnF". RNAcentral also lists the same sequence under 1 other name. Lineage: Eukaryota; Viridiplantae; Streptophyta; Bryopsida; Splachnales; Meesiaceae. The record is from RNAcentral.